Long non-coding RNA from Strongylocentrotus purpuratus (purple sea urchin), 1814 nucleotides. RefSeq lists it as uncharacterized. The record is from RefSeq and is a predicted model, not a curated record. NCBI's taxonomy places the organism in Eukaryota, Metazoa, Echinodermata, Echinoidea, Camarodonta, Strongylocentrotidae. The transcript has 2 exons.
CUACACAUCCUGAGCCCCUGACACCGAAUCAUCUUCUGACGAUGAAAACCAACGUGCUGUUGCCGCCUCCAGGACACUUCCAACGAGAGGACUUGUACUCUAGGAAAAGAUGGAGGAGAGUUCAGCAUCUCGCGAACGAAUUCUGGAAGCGUUGGAAGCGAGAGUUUCUCCAGAGUCUCCAAUCACGUCAGAAAUGGACUUGCCCACAGCGUGAAACCCGUAUAGGUGAUGUCGUAAUAAUGAAAGACGACAAUCCAAGAAACCAAUGGACGCUAGCCAGAGUAGUUGAUGUUUACCCAUCCUCGGACAAUCAUGUGCGUAAGGUUAAAUUGGUGAUGGGUGACCCCAAGAUAAACAGUCGCGGGAAGCGAAUCUUCCAACAACGUUAUUUUGAACGACCAAUACAUAAGCUUAUCUUGUUAGUCGCGCAUGAAGACCAGGGGAAAUUCCCUGACAAGGAGCCACAAGGCUAGGGGGUUGAACUUGGUUGACAAGGAGCCACAAGGCUAGGGGGUUGAACUUGGUUGACAAGGAGCCACGAGGCUAGGGGGUUUAACUUAAUUAACCUAAAGUAAUAAUUGUUAUGUCCAAAUCGCCAUGUCUAGAGAUUGAGCCUGGCAUUGGAUAACAAGGAGCCAAGGGGUCUGAAUUAAGACUAAUUUAUGUUAUCAUUUGAUAUUGUUUAUUGUGUCUGAACUUGAAAAUAAUUUGAAUUUUCGCAGACAUUGUGUUUGAUAAAUGUGAUUUCAACCAAAAUUCUAAAGUCUGAAAGGGAGAAUACCUUCAAUUUUCUAAAUGCCGCUUUGUUUUAUGUAUAUGUAUACUGGUUUGAUCAUAAUGCUAGAGUCUGGAUGUAAGACUAAAUUGAAAUGUUUAAGGUUAAACAUGCUUUAUUUUCUGAAAAGGGUCAACUUGGAAUAUAAAACUAUUCCCUCGUUAGUAAAGGUAUAUCUGUGUCUGAGAUGAAAACUACAUCUAAGAGUCAAGUGAGACUAUUUAAGAUUAUUCAUUUCAGUGUAAACUUACUAGGGUCUGAAGUCAGACUUGUAACUUUGUGACAUUUCAUUUGUUUGCAAAUUGAAUUGUAGACAUAAGGUUGAUGCUCAUUAAACCAUAUCUAUGUGUCUGAUGCAAGACUAAGCAGUUAAUGUUAUUUAACAAAAAUUAUACAUGCAUAAAAUAAUUUUUAAGAUUAAGGGCUAAGACUAAUUUGAAACAAAAUUUGAAGUCAUGUAUUACUAUACAUGGAUGGUGUUUUGGUUACAGAGACAAAUUUAUGCAUUAGUUUAGAUUCUUGAUCUCUGAACGUCUGUUAUAAAGGGAUUAGAAUUGAACAUUAUAAGUUGUAAAACCAGUUAAACUUAUAGAUUGAAGCUAGUACAUGCAGCUAGUGAGUACAGCUAGAUGCAUUACAUUUACUUCUAGAUGUGCUUGGUAUAUAUACAAAGUUAGAAAUGUUAGUUCUGUAGAACAAGUAAGAAUUAUCGCAGGUAUGUCAAAUAGUUUAUUAUGGUAAAUUAGUUGUACUAAUUUAAAGGAGCCAUGUAAGUGUAUUUGAUUUAGUCGACCAAAAGGUUAGAGCGCCAUCUUCGGCGACAGACUUUUAUAGACAGAGUUUCAAAGUCAAACAAUGAUCAAUGAAGAACAAUGAGAAAUUGAUGAUUAAUUGCAACAUAUUCUUAGCUGCAGACAAGUUAAUUGACUAAAAGGAGGCAAGAAGUUUUCACGGAGUGAAAAGAACAGAGUUAAAAGAAAGGAGUCAAAGAAAGGAAGCUACGCUCCUACCAAAGAAUAAAAGAACACUCCCGUAAAAA